This 433-nucleotide ribosomal RNA is filed under the name uncultured bacterium. Its description in RNAcentral is "partial 16S ribosomal RNA". It matches the Rfam family "Bacterial small subunit ribosomal RNA", at positions 29 to 507 of the family's 1533-position model. The record is from RNAcentral.
AACGAACGCUGGCGGCAGGCCUAACACAUGCAAGUCGAGCGAGAUCUUCGGGUCUAGCGGCGGACGGGUGGUAACCGCGUGGGAUUAUGCCUCUGGGUCGGAAAUAGCCUCGGGAACCGGGGGGAAUUACGUUAUUGGCCCUUUGGGGGAAAGAUUUAUCGCCAAGGGAUUAGCCCGCGUUGGAUUAGGUAGUUGGUGGGGUAAUGGCCUACCAAGCCGACGAUCCAUAGCUGGUUUGAGAGGAUGAUCAGCCACACUGGGACUGAGACACGGCCCAGACUCCUACGGGAGGCAGCAGUGGGGAAUCUUAGACAAUGGGGGCAACCCUGAUCUAGCCAUGCCGCGUGAGUGAUGAAGGCCUUAGGGUUGUAAAGCUCUUUCAGCUGGGAAGAUAAUGACGGUACCAGCAGAAGAAGCCCCGGCUAACUCCGUG